This 3006-nucleotide ribosomal RNA is filed under the name Salmonella enterica subsp. enterica. RNAcentral describes it as "23S ribosomal RNA". It matches the Rfam family "Bacterial large subunit ribosomal RNA". The record is from RNAcentral. Lineage: Bacteria; Pseudomonadati; Pseudomonadota; Gammaproteobacteria; Enterobacterales; Enterobacteriaceae.
GGUUAAGCGACUAAGCGUACACGGUGGAUGCCCUGGCAGUCAGAGGCGAUGAAGGGCGUGCUAAUCUGCGAUAAGCGCCGGUAAGGUGAUAUGAACCGUUAUAACCGGCGAUACCCGAAUGGGGAAACCCAGUGUGACUCGUCACACUAUCAUUAACUGAAUCCAUAGGUUAAUGAGGCGAACCGGGGGAACUGAAACAUCUAAGUACCCCGAGGAAAAGAAAUCAACCGAGAUUCCCCCAGUAGCGGCGAGCGAACGGGGAGGAGCCCAGAGCCUGAAUCAGCAUGUGUGUUAGUGGAAGCGUCUGGAAAGGCGCGCGAUACAGGGUGACAGCCCCGUACACAAAAGCGCAUGUGCUGUGAGCUCGAUGAGUAGGGCGGGACACGUGGUAUCCUGUCUGAAUAUGGGGGGACCAUCCUCCAAGGCUAAAUACUCCUGACUGACCGAUAGUGAACCAGUACCGUGAGGGAAAGGCGAAAAGAACCCCGGCGAGGGGAGUGAAAAAGAACCUGAAACCGUGUACGUACAAGCAGUGGGAGCCCCACCACUAAGCCAGUGGUGAACUCCACAUACGCAUCCUUUGCUGAGGAUACGGUUAACGGAGCGAAAGCGACGUUCAACCUCAAAAGAAGCAGAGGGGGCUUAGUGGUGGGGUGACUGCGUACCUUUUGUAUAAUGGGUCAGCGACUUAUAUUCUGUAGCAAGGUUAACCGAAUAGGGGAGCCGGAGGGAAACCGAGUCUUAACCGGGCGUUAAGUUGCAGGGUAUAGACCCGAAACCCGGUGAUCUAGCCAUGGGCAGGUUGAAGGUUGGGUAACACUAACUGGAGGACCGAACCGACUAAUGUUGAAAAAUUAGCGGAUGACCUGUGGCUGGGGGUGAAAGGCCAAUCAAACCGGGAGAUAGCUGGUUCUCCCCGAAAGCUAUUUAGGUAGCGCCUCGUGAAUUCAUCUCCGGGGGUAGAGCACUGUUUCGGCUAGGGGGCCAUCCCGGCUUACCAACCCGAUGCAAACUGCGAAUACCGGAGAAUGUUAUCACGGGAGACACACGGCGGGUGCUAACGUCCGUCGUGAAGAGGGAAACAACCCAGACCGCCAGCUAAGGUCCCAAAGUCAUGGUUAAGUGGGAAACGAUGUGGGAAGGCCCAGACAGCCAGGAUGUUGGCUUAGAAGCAGCCAUCAUUUAAAGAAAGCGUAAUAGCUCACUGGUCGAGUCGGCCUGCGCGGAAGAUGUAACGGGGCUAAACCAUGCACCGAAGCUGCGGCAGCGACACUAUGUGUUGUUGGGUAGGGGAGCGUUCUGUAAGCCUGCGAAGGUGUCUCGUGAGGGAUGCUGGAGGUAUCAGAAGUGCGAAUGCUGACAUAAGUAACGAUAAUGCGGGUGAAAAGCCCGCUCGCCGGAAGACCAAGGGUUCCUGUCCAACGUUAAUCGGGGCAGGGUGAGUCGACCCCUAAGGCGAGGCCGAAAGGCGUAGUCGAUGGGAAACGGGUUAAUAUUCCCGUACUUGGUGUUACUGCGAAGGGGGGACGGAGAAGGCUAUGUUGGCCGGGCGACGGUUGUCCCGGUUUAAGCGUGUAGGUGUGUGUUCCAGGUAAAUCCGGUUCACUUUAACACUGAGGCGUGAUGACGAGGCACUACGGUGCUGAAGCAACAAAUGCCCUGCUUCCAGGAAAAGCCUCUAAGCAUCAGGUAACAUCAAAUCGUACCCCAAACCGACACAGGUGGUCAGGUAGAGAAUACCAAGGCGCUUGAGAGAACUCGGGUGAAGGAACUAGGCAAAAUGGUGCCGUAACUUCGGGAGAAGGCACGCUGACACGUAGGUGAAGUGAUUUACUCAUGGAGCUGAAGUCAGUCGAAGAUACCAGCUGGCUGCAACUGUUUAUUAAAAACACAGCACUGUGCAAACACGAAAGUGGACGUAUACGGUGUGACGCCUGCCCGGUGCCGGAAGGUUAAUUGAUGGGGUCAGCGCAAGCGAAGCUCCUGAUCGAAGCCCCGGUAAACGGCGGCCGUAACUAUAACGGUCCUAAGGUAGCGAAAUUCCUUGUCGGGUAAGUUCCGACCUGCACGAAUGGCGUAAUGAUGGCCAGGCUGUCUCCACCCGAGACUCAGUGAAAUUGAACUCGCUGUGAAGAUGCAGUGUACCCGCGGCAAGACGGAAAGACCCCGUGAACCUUUACUAUAGCUUGACACUGAACACUGGUCCUUGAUGUGCAGGAUAGGUGGGAGGCUUUGAAGCGCGGACGCCAGUUCGUGUGGAGCCAUCCUUGAAAUACCACCCUUUAAUGGCUGGUGUUCUAACGUAGACCCGUGAUCCGGGUUGCGGACAGUGUCUGGUGGGUAGUUUGACUGGGGCGGUCUCCUCCUAAAGAGUAACGGAGGAGCACGAAGGUUAGCUAAUCCUGGUCGGACAUCAGGAGGUUAGUGCAAAGGCAUAAGCUAGCUUGACUGCGAGCGUGACGGCGCGAGCAGGUGCGAAAGCAGGUCUUAGUGAUCCGGUGGUUCUGAAUGGAAGGGCCAUCGCUCAACGGAUAAAAGGUACUCCGGGGAUAACAGGCUGAUACCGCCCAAGAGUUCAUAUCGACGGCGGUGUUUGGCACCUCGAUGUCGGCUCAUCACAUCCUGGGGCUGAAGUAGGUCCCAAGGGUAUGGCUGUUCGCCAUUUAAAGUGGUACGCGAGCUGGGUUUAGAACGUCGUGAGACAGUUCGGUCCCUAUCUGCCGUGGGCGCUGGAGAACUGAGGGGGGCUGCUCCUAGUACGAGAGGACCGGAGUGGACGCAUCACUGGUGUUCGGGUUGUCAUGCCAAUGGCACUGCCCGGUAGCUAAAUGCGGAAGAGAUAAGUGCUGAAAGCAUCUAAGCACGAAACUUGCCCCGAGAUGAGUUCUCCCUGAGACUUAGAGUCUCCUGAAGGAACGUUGAAGACGACGACGUUGAUAGGCCGGGUGUGUAAGCGCAGCGAUGCGUUGAGCUAACCGGUACUAAUGAACCGUGAGGCUUAACCUU